AUACGGAGGGUGCAAGCGUUAAUCGGAAUUACUGGGCGUAAAGCGUACGUAGGCGGUUUAUUAAGUCAGAUGUGAAAGCCCCGGGCUUAACCUGGGAACUGCAUUUGAAACUAGUAGACUAGAGUAUGGUAGAGGGGGGUAGAAUUCCUAGUGUAGCGGUGAAAUGCGUAGAUAUUAGGAGGAAUACCAGUGGCGAAGGCGGCCCGCUGGACCAAUACUGACACUGAGGUACGAAAGCGUGGGUAGCGAACAGGAUUAGAAACCCGGGUAGUCC
RNAcentral lists this ribosomal RNA (274 nucleotides) under uncultured bacterium. RNAcentral describes it as "partial 16S ribosomal RNA". It matches the Rfam family "Bacterial small subunit ribosomal RNA", at positions 523 to 796 of the family's 1533-position model. The record is from RNAcentral.